GAGAGCAUUCCAGGCAGCGAGAACAGCCAGUGCAAAGGCCCUGAGGUCAAAGCAGGUAAGGAGUGUUAGAGGAAGAGGAGAUGAUGCAGCCAGAGCAGAGUGAGCAAAGCAGAGAGGAGAGGAGGGGACUGUCUCCUGAGUCUGCUGCCUGCUGCGUGGAGGCUGUGAGUUUUACUGAUACUCUGCACUCUUGUCCUCACAGAUCAGCAGGCAUGCUUCCAUACCUGCCGCCAGUGGCCCCUUGCUGAGGGCCCUCCUGUGCACCGUGUCAUCUCAGCUCCCAAAUACCCUCAUUAUUCCCACUUUGUAGAUGAGAAAACAGAGGGAUGAGAUGGGAUUCAGCUGGAAAAAGAAACCCUACAAAACCACCUCCGUGGAGAGCCACUGCCCCACGAGUGUGUGAUGCCUGCAGUAGGCGAAGCCAGCAGAUGGAGAAGGUGCGGCAGGAGGGCGCUGGCCUGGCCCAGUUGGGGUGGGCCCUGGCAUGGUGAGGAAAUGGUGGUUCAGAGAGGUCAUCCGACUUGCCCAAGUCCACACAGCCUGGAGGAGGAAUCACUUCAGUGCAAACUCAGGAAUGGAAAACCAUGGCUGGUUUUCUCUGGAUGUAGCCUGGGCCCAGCCUCCACCUGCUGCCAGCCCACCGAGGGCCCCAGGGCCUCUGAGAUCGCCCCUGGCAUGAGAGUGACUGUAUUUUAUCAAACACAUCUGCUGAGGGGACAUUGCCUUUAGCGAUCAACAUCUCAUGCCUCACUGAGCCCUCACCGGUCUUUAGAGGCAAGGACUUGGUUGUCUCCACAUUCUAGAUGAGGACACUGGGGCCUAGAGAAGGCUCCACGGGGGCUGAAACUGCCUCCAGAAACUUCCAUGGAGGAUGUGGCCCAAGUUCAUGACUCCUGAACUCCAGCCAGACCCGUCUGGAUGCUCAGGGAGGGGAGGACCCUGGCCCUGGGUAAAUGCUCCAGCCUAGCCCUGGGCAUCUCAACCAUGAGUGCCCCUGGUGGGCUGAGGAUCUGCGGCCUGGGAAUAAGAUGGGCUUUGAGAAAUGUGUACUUGGCCAGGUUGCUUUUCUUCUUGGACCUCAGUUUUCCCAUCCAUGCAAUGGGCACAAAGAAGACCCCUUCCAGAGGUUGCAGAAAUAAACGUGGUGCUGUAUGUGUCGUGUUAGGCAGAGAGCCUGGGACACAGCCAGGGUUUAGGGCCUUGUCUGGGUCCGGCAGAGCCUGCAGUGGGUCUGAGCCACCCAGGGCUCACCCCUCUCCCCCAGGCCCUGCUGAGGGAACCCAGUCGCAGCUCCCCCAGUCUGUUCCCCACCUCUGCCUGUCCCAGCAUCCCUCGAUUCCCUCCUGUAGCAGAUACAGCCCUCAAGCUCAGCUUGACAGGGAGUGUGACCUCUGCUCUGUGGCUUGUAGCCUCUCCAGCCCCUCUGGCCAGUCGGGUCAAACAGCAAAUGUCAGUCCCUGUUGGGGUGUGCCCAGCCCAGCGCUAUCCCAAAGCCCUAGAUCAAGGUUUGUUUCAUUGUGGUAAAAUAUGUGUAACAUAAAAUGAACCAUCUUUAACCAUUAAGUGUACAGUUCGUGGCUUUAAGGACACUCACACUGUUGUGCAACCGUCACCAUUCUCCACCUCCAGAACUUUCUCAUCUUCCUGGACUGAAAGUCCGUCCUCGUUCAACACAACUCCCCACCCCUGGCCCCAGCCCCAGCAGCCACCCCUCUGCUUUCUGUCUUGACCCAUUGGACUGCCCUCCGGCCUUCUAUAUGGGAUCCUACAGACUUGGACUUUUUGUGACUGGUUUAUUUCAAUUAGCAUAAUGUCCGCAAGGUUCCUCCCUGUUGGAGCAUGAGUCAGAAUUUCCAUCCUUUCUCUGUUUGAAUAUCGUCUCCUCCUCCGUUGAGACCAAGUUGUGCUCAUUCGCCUAACCCUCAGGGGACCCUUGGCUUGCUCACACACCCUGGCUGUCGCGAACAAUGUGUGAGCAACACACAUGGGUGUGCAAAUGUCUGAGACCCAGUUUUCAGUUCUUUGGGGUGUAUACCUAGAAGUGGAAUUUCUAGAUCAUGUGGUGAUUAUGUUCAACUUUUUUGAGGAACUGCCCAAAGUCUUGGGGUUUCAAGUAGGACACAAGCAUUGGGGAAGGCCCCUCAGGCCACACUGUGGACAGGGAGAUACAGAAUCAGGAGCUAGACAUCAUGGGUUCAAAUCCUGGUUCUGCCACUUCCUGAGGGGGUGACCUUGGGUGGGUCACUUACCCUCUGUGCAUCAGUGUCUCAGCUGUACUGUGGGAUGCGGGCAGCAGCUGCCUUGUGGGGCUGAGGUGGUGCGGGGAGCAUGUCCUUAGAACGGUGCCUGGGCCCCAGAAGCUCUGGUAACCGUUCGUUCUUUGUUGUCCCAGGGAUCUGAUCCUGCGAACCCGCUGCUUCCGUGGCCCUCCCCCAGCUUGGUCCCUCCAUAGA
Long non-coding RNA from Lontra canadensis (Northern American river otter), 2453 nucleotides. RefSeq lists it as uncharacterized. NCBI's taxonomy places the organism in Eukaryota, Metazoa, Chordata, Mammalia, Carnivora, Mustelidae. The record is from RefSeq and is a predicted model, not a curated record. The transcript is spliced from 5 exons.